CUACGCAAAGGAGGCUCCGAGAGGGUCCGCCACUACCUUUAAGGGCCUACGUCAACCGUAGAGCCCCAACACCAAGCAGAGCAAAACUGUUGAAAUGACGCUCGAACAGGCAUGCCAUCGAGAAUGCUGGCAGCGAAAUGCGACAAGCAAAGAGACUUGGAGACAUUGGAUUCUCAUCUUAUCAUUGAUCAUACAUUGUGCCUGCCAGCUUUCUGGAUGCCAUAACUGAUCGAGCGGCUUUUAAACGCUUAAGUUCUGUGUUUGGUUGACUCUCUACAAACGACGUUGAACCUGAGAGUGAGUGUCGUCCGCUGUCGGAGCCUCCCGCGGACAGUAGCAGUUCGUCACACAUUGUUUUUAGGAGACGCUCUAGCCGUGAAGCCCCCCAAUAAGACUGUGCGCAAAGUCGUUGAUGGGCGGGAACUCAGGAUGAACUCAAGCCGAUGAAGAAAGCAGGGAAGA
This 462-nucleotide unclassified non-coding RNA is filed under the name Colletotrichum sp. GA-2014-B. Its description in RNAcentral is "sequence contains 18S rRNA gene, ITS1, 5.8S rRNA gene, ITS2 and 28S rRNA gene". The record is from RNAcentral. Lineage: Eukaryota; Fungi; Ascomycota; Sordariomycetes; Glomerellales; Glomerellaceae.